UACGGAGGAGGCAAGCGUUAUCCGGAAUUAUUGGGCGUAAAGCGUCCGUAGGUGGCUCUUCAAGUCUGCCGUCAAAGACUGGGGCUUAACCCUGGAAAGGCGGUGGAAACUGAAGCGCUAGAGUGUGGUAGGGGUAGAGGGAAUUCCCGGUGUAGCGGUGAAAUGCGUAGAGAUCGGGAAGAACAUCGGUGGCGAAGGCGCUCUACUGGGCCACAACUGACACUCAGGGACGAAAGCUAGGGGAGCGAAUGGG
This 253-nucleotide ribosomal RNA is filed under the name uncultured bacterium. Its description in RNAcentral is "partial 16S ribosomal RNA". It matches the Rfam family "Bacterial small subunit ribosomal RNA", at positions 524 to 776 of the family's 1533-position model. The record is from RNAcentral.